GAGGCGCGAUAUCGCCCCUUCAGAAUACGCGGCAUGACUAACGACAUGGCGCAAAUAACGUCGGCGUCGUCGGUGUUCGCGAUGCAGAACCUAUCAUCGUCAUCGCGUAACUUCAGUUACCCGCUGGAGGACGUGACGUCAAAUCGGGCGGUGCAGUUUGUCUUCUGCGUGUUCUAUCUGGGUAUCUUCUUCAUGGGCAUUUUCGGCAACGUGCUGGUGGCAUUCGUCGUCUGGCGCAACCGGCAGAUGCACACGGUCACGAACCUGUUCAUCGCGAAUCUUGCGCUCAGCGAUGUGCUCCUGUGCUUCCUGGCCGUGCCGUUCACGCCGCUCUACACCUUCCUGGGCCGUUGGGUGUUUGGCAAUACCCUCUGCCACCUGGUACCGUACGCCCAGGGCGUCAGCGUAUACAUCAGCAUGCUCACGUUGACCAGCAUAGCCGUCGACCGAUUCCUGGUGAUCAUCUAUCCGUUCCACCCGCGCAUGCAGAUCAAGAUGUGCAUAGCGAUCAUCGUGAGUAUCUGGGUGUUCGCGUUGCUACUGACCGUGCCGUACGGGCUCUACAUGCAGCUGGAGGAGCCGUACACCUUCUGCGAGGAGCACUGGCCCAGCGAGCCGUUCCGCAAGCUCUUCAGCUCGAUCACCACGAUACUGCAGUUUAUCGUGCCGUUCUUCGUGAUCGCCUUCUGCUACAUAUGCGUGUCGAUCAAGCUGAAGGAUCGGGCGCGCGCCAAGCCCGGCAGCAAGACCAGCAAGCGCGAGGAAGUGGACCGCGAGCGGAAACGACGCACCAACCGGAUGCUGAUCGCCAUGGUGGUGAUAUUCGGCGUGUCCUGGCUACCCCUGAACAUCGUCAACAUCGUCAACGAUUUCUACUCGCCCGCCAACGACUGGUCCUACUACAGGCUAUGCUUCUUCAUAACGCACUGCCUCGCUAUGAGCAGCACCUGCUAUAAUCCGAUCCUCUACGCCUGGCUCAACGACAACUUCCGCAAGGAGUUCAAGCAGGUCCUGCCGUGUUUCUCGAGAAGCUCCGACGACACUCCAAGGACCAAGGAGGGCUGCAAGAGCGACAAGAUAUGUAACGGUAAUAAUACCAUGCAGGAGACUCUACUGCCCAGCAACACGACAAGAGUGCAGAAUCCCGAGGGAUACGAGAUGAUCAUCCUGGAGGCGACGACGAACGUUUCGAAAGACCAGGAUCAGCCCUCGAGCUCUUCCAAAGACUUCGACGACGCUGCUCUGUAAGGAAGUUCGACAGCUUUGCGGUGGUGAAACGCAUCGGCGAUGCGGGUUGCCAGUCGUACGUGAAACGCGUGAGGGCGAACUCGGAGCGAGUUAAUAAUAUUCAACGCAUUGCCGAUCAGCCCCGAUCGAAUUUCUCGAAAACGGAAGGGUUACAAACACCUGCGCCGUUCGCCGAUUAAUCAACGUCAUAUUUUUAUUCCGACAUAGGAAUACUUAAUUUCCCGUACGCGCGUAGGCGAUCGAAUAUAUUUUCACGUUGUCAGAAAACGUUGCAGUCACAACACAUGAGGCUUGAUGGACGCCGUUGCUUCCAUUCUCGGUGAACGAGAAACUGUCGAUUGGAUAAAUCAAGACAUGCGAUGGGGAUGGCUGCAGGAAAGAAGAAACGUGUUUAGCGCGCGAAUCUUGUAUAAUAUAUUUCACGCGUACUUGUAUAAACUGUGAUGUAAUUAAGAACAAUAUUAGAAGCACUUUAGCGAUAAGAGCAUGCAUGUAUCGGAUCGUCGACGAUAAAUUCGAAAGCAAAAUGUGUAAAAAAUAUAAAAAUUAUGAAUAAAUCUUCAUCAAUCGACCGUU
RNAcentral lists this unclassified non-coding RNA (1824 nucleotides) under Ooceraea biroi (clonal raider ant). RNAcentral describes it as "prolactin-releasing peptide receptor, transcript variant X4". Lineage: Eukaryota; Metazoa; Arthropoda; Insecta; Hymenoptera; Formicidae. The record is from RNAcentral.